UUUUUCUUUGUUAGUUUAUGUUUUCUGCGUUAAAUUUUUUCUUUUCUAGGUAGUUUUUGUUGUGUCUUGUGUACAGUUUUGCAUGUUUCUCUUGAUUUCUGGAUUUGGUUUAGGUUGUAGACUUGUCUUUCACUUCAUUGAUACUCUGAUUUGUUGGAUUCCUUGCUUUUCUUUGCUUGGAAAGAUGAUUAUGAUGUUUGAGGGUUGAAUUGAUUGUGAC
Molecule: long non-coding RNA, 220 nt
Filed under: Vigna radiata
Lineage: Eukaryota; Viridiplantae; Streptophyta; Magnoliopsida; Fabales; Fabaceae
Description: long non-coding RNA (VRAD_LNC013748)
Source: RNAcentral